This 253-nucleotide ribosomal RNA is filed under the name uncultured bacterium. RNAcentral's name for it is "partial 16S ribosomal RNA". It matches the Rfam family "Bacterial small subunit ribosomal RNA", at positions 524 to 776 of the family's 1533-position model. The record is from RNAcentral.
UACGGAGGGGGCGAGCGUUGUUCGGAAUCAUUGGGCGUAAAGGGCGCGUAGGCGGCCGACCAAGUCGGAUGUGAAAUCCCUCGGCUCAACCGAGGAACUGCAUUCGAUACUGGUUGGCUAGAGUCCGGGAGGGGAUAGCGGAAUUCCCAGUGUAGCGGUGAAAUGCGUAGAUAUUGGGAAGAACACCGGUGGCGAAGGCGGCUAUCUGGACCGGAACUGACGCUGAGGCGCGAAAGCCAGGGGAGCGAAUGGG